GGCUCACCAAGCCCGAGGAAGCGGAAGACGGUGUGCAUGGUGAACUUCCUGUUGGAGGCGUGGUCCUCCAACCUGAGCACCAAGAUCUGCUCACGGCUGAAGACGCUCAGCCAGUCCAGCAGGUGUCAAAGGUUAAAAGCAAGAUGGCCGCCGCAAGUUGAGGUGCGCGGAUUGAGUUAAGAAAAUGGAAGCAGUCCUAACAACUCGCAUCCAUAAGCCCUUUGUAGACCUCCACGCCUGAACUAACCAACAAAUGG
Molecule: long non-coding RNA, 257 nt
Organism: Syngnathus typhle (broad-nosed pipefish)
Lineage: Eukaryota; Metazoa; Chordata; Actinopteri; Syngnathiformes; Syngnathidae
Exons: 3
Source: RefSeq, a predicted model, not a curated record